AGUUGGUGGAGUGAUUUGUCUGGUUAAUUCCGUUAACGAACGAGACCUCAGCCUGCUAAAUAGUCCGACGAACACGUUUCGUGUUCGAUUCGGAGCUUCUUAGAGGGACUGUCUGUAUCUAGCAGAAGGAAGUUUGAGGCAAUAACAGG
This 149-nucleotide ribosomal RNA is filed under the name uncultured eukaryote. RNAcentral's name for it is "partial small subunit ribosomal RNA". It matches the Rfam family "Eukaryotic small subunit ribosomal RNA", at positions 1296 to 1460 of the family's 1831-position model. The record is from RNAcentral.